AGAGCCAACCUCCUGUUUCUACCGAGCAAAUGUUGACACAGCAUCAAGCCCCACGCUCCUGAAUAGACAGUCAACUGACAGAUCCCAAUCUGAUUGAACAUCUUCAGAAUCUGCUGGACCAAACCCAAGCCGAGGAGGCUCCCGUCUGCAAUCCAUAGAACCCAAAAUGUCUCCGACCAACGACCCACUGACGGACACCCUAAGACACUCCAGAGGUUCUUAACUGUUUUGGCAGCAUCAAGGAGAGCCUACACAAUAUCAGGAGGUGCCGCAAGCAUACCAGCAGUUGAAAGAGGAGCCACAUUCUUUCAGCACAGAUCCCUCCAUCCCUC
Acanthochromis polyacanthus (spiny chromis) is the source of this 332-nucleotide long non-coding RNA. RefSeq lists it as uncharacterized. NCBI's taxonomy places the organism in Eukaryota, Metazoa, Chordata, Actinopteri, Pomacentridae. The transcript has 3 exons. The record is from RefSeq and is a predicted model, not a curated record.